RNAcentral lists this long non-coding RNA (2690 nucleotides) under Triticum aestivum (bread wheat). Its description in RNAcentral is "long non-coding RNA (TAES_LNC018542)". Lineage: Eukaryota; Viridiplantae; Streptophyta; Magnoliopsida; Poales; Poaceae. The record is from RNAcentral.
GGAAAUUUAUAGCAUCGGCAUUAUUGAAAAUAAAAUUCAAACAUAUGAAAACAAUGCCGCACAACAUUCUCACCAUAUGAUGGUAGAAAACUUAAGAGGUAAAUGGAGGGUGGAUGCAUGGUAUAUUGCCUUGUGACAUUCAAGUUCAAUUAUUUCUUGUUCAAAAGAUGAAAAUAAUAAUGGGGAGAGUUUGCAUGUGGCGGAAGUGGAAAAUGGAAUGGUUGCAUGCAUGCCUGAUGAUGUGGUGGAAAGUGAAAGUGAAAAGUGGAUUGGUUGUGUGCGCUUGAUGAUGUGGAUGACUUGCAUGUGUUUUAAGUAAUCUCACCACAACUCAAAGUAGUGCCAGUAAAUUUGCAAGUCACAAGACUAUAGUAUAAAAGAGUGAAGGGAGUGUAUGCAUCUCCUUUGUAGUUGCAAGGGUAAAAAGUGGUAGAAGAACCAUCAUGCUAAUUGAUGAAUGCACUAUCUCAAGAAUGCAAGAAGAUAAUGUGACACAUCUAUUACUGGUAGAACCAGGGGUCCUACCGGACCUGCUCCGGAGGUUGUAGGGGAAGGAUGGAGCGGGGCGAGGUGACGAGCGUGCGCGCCGGCGGCUGGGCGCCGUCGCGUAGGAGGGAGAUGGCGGCGGCGGCUAGGGUUGGAGGCGGCUAGGGUUCCGGCUCCUCUGGGAGCCGGGCAAUAGGGAUACUAAUAUUCUUAUUGCUUAAUCUCAAAAAGAGUCUUACAGCAUAUAUUUAUAACCUAGAUAACUUGCAUACGAAUUAACCUAAGAUAACUUGUGGGCUAAGAUCGCCCGGUGGGCCUUCUACGGCCAUAAGUCAGGCCGGUCAUAACAUUUCUCCCCGCCUGCACAAACAGCUCGUCCUCGAGCUGUAAGGUGGGGAAGCGCUUGCUGAACUCCUCGAGGUGAUUAACCAGCGUCAAACACCUGCGCGUCAGCUGAGGCGGCCAGGUCGGCGGCGACGGUGUCCUCCGGAAUGUAGUCUGCAACCUCCUGGUAGAAGAGUCGCGGACAGACGUGGCCGGGCAUGUAAGGCUCGUCGCAGUUGAAGCACAACCCUUGGCGGCGACGCUCGAGUAGCUCGGACGAGGUGAGCUGGCGGAACAGGCGCGCCGCGGUCGCGGUGAGGGGUGCCGCGGAAGCCUGAGCAGGCCGACCCUGCGCAGAAACAUCCGGCCAGGGUAGUGACCCAGCGGCCCGGGACGGUGAUUCCUGUUGGAUGGCCACCGCGCGGCGCUCGAACGCGCGUGCGUAGUACAUGGCCAUCUGGAGAUCCUGGGGUCCCCGAAGCUCCACGUCCACGCGGAUGUGAUCCGGAAGUCCACCGACGAAGAGGUCGGCCCGUUGCUGCGCCUUCACGCCCGACGCGUGGCAUGCCAGGGCCUGGAAACGAUCGGCGAAGUCCUGAACCGUGGAGGUGAAGGGAAGGCGGCCUAGCUCUGCCAGGCGGCUCCCGCGGAUCGGUGGCCCAAAACGAAGGAGGCAGAGCUCGCGGAAGCGCUCCCAAGGGGGCAUGCUGCCCUCGUCCUGCUCGAGGGCGUAGUACCAUGUUUGUGCCGUGCCGCGGAGGUGGUAGGAGGCGAGCCAGGUACGCUCCGAUGCGAGGGUGCGCUGCCCGCGAAAGAACUGGUCGCACUGGUUGAGCCAGUUGAGAGGGUCCUCCGUGCCGUCAUAAGUGGCGAAGUCAAUUUUGGCGAACCGCGGCGGUGUCUGGGUUGGAGCGACGUGUCGGACUGGCUCGAAGGUGCGGAGCAGCGAGGCGGGCGGCGCCUGGUCGGAGUACCCCGGGUAGGGGCCCGUGGAGCCGGAUGGCCCGCCAAACUGCAGGGACGGAGUCGGCUGUUCCGGAGCCGUGGUGUAGACCGGUGGUGGCGAAGACCCGGCCGCCCAAGCUGGUAGUGGCGACGGGGAGGGCGGGAACCGGACCUGGUGUAUCGGCAGGCCGGACGGUGACGGCAGUCCGGAGCUGGGCAGAGGUGGCGCCUCGAGGUGCAGCGGCUGCUGCGGAGAGUGGGCGGACGCGGCGAUAGCCGCGGUGGCAGUAGGUGGCCACUGCGGCCAGAGAGGAACCGCGGCUGGGGGCGGCUGCAGGUGCAGCAGCGGCGGUGGCAGCCCGCUGUGGUGCCCCGCCUGGAACGGCAGCAGCGGUGGCCCGCCAAUUGCAGGCGCGCCCUGGGACGGCCACGGCAGCCAGAGCUAGGCGGCGGCUGGGGGCGGCUGUAGGUGCAGCAGCGACGGGGGCCCGCUGGUGUGUCCCGCCUGGAACGGCAGCAGGGGCGUCCCGCUCGGGCCAGACGCGUUCUGGAUCGGCCAGUGCAGCGCCGGAUGGCUGUAGGCGGGGGGCGCAGCCGGCGGGGUGGCGUGCGGGCCGGCCAGGUACAGGGUGAUGCCCUGGACGGCCGUCACGAGGUCCCGCAAGGUGCUGGACAUCUCCUCCGGCGUGAAGACGGGGAUCGUCGACGGCGCGGAGGUGACUGGGGCCGGCGGCGCGGAGGUGAUCGGGGCCGGCGGCGUUGGGGACCCGGCCGUGGUCAUCAGGGCGGUGGUGAUGAUGGACAGCAGCGGCGUGGGUGGGGAUGACGACAUGAUCAAACCUGAGUCUCUGGAUACCAAAUUGGUAGAACCAGGGGUCCUACCGGACCUGCUCCAGAGGUUGUAGGGGAAGGAUGGAGCGGGGCGAGGUGACGAG